RNAcentral lists this ribosomal RNA (253 nucleotides) under uncultured bacterium. RNAcentral's name for it is "partial 16S ribosomal RNA". It matches the Rfam family "Bacterial small subunit ribosomal RNA", at positions 524 to 776 of the family's 1533-position model. The record is from RNAcentral.
UACGUAGGGGGCGAGCGUUGUCCGGAAUCAUUGGGCGUAAAGAGCGUGUAGGCGGCCCGGUAAGUCCGCUGUGAAAGUCCAGGGCUCAACCCUGGGAUGCCGGUGGAUACUGUCGGGCUCGAGUCCGGAAGAGGAGUGUGGAAUUCCUGGUGUAGCGGUGAAAUGCGCAGAUAUCAGGAAGAACACCAAUGGCGAAAGCAGCUCUCUGGGACGGUACUGACGCUGAGACGCGAAAGCGUGGGGAGCGAACAGG